This 440-nucleotide ribosomal RNA is filed under the name uncultured bacterium. Its description in RNAcentral is "partial 16S ribosomal RNA". It matches the Rfam family "Bacterial small subunit ribosomal RNA", at positions 338 to 795 of the family's 1533-position model. The record is from RNAcentral.
CCUACGGGAGGCAGCAGUAGGGAAUAUUGCUCAAUGGGGGAAACCCUGAAGCAGCAACGCCGCGUGGAGGAUGAAGGUUUUCGGGUUGUAAACUCCUUUUGUUAGGGAAGAUAAUGACGGUAUCUAACGAAUAAGCACCAGCUAACACCGUGCCAGAAGCCGCGGUAAUACGGAGGGUGCGAGCGUUACUCGGAAUCACUGGGCGUAAAGAGCGCGUAGGCGGGUUAGCAAGUCAGAUGUGAAAUCCUAGGGCUUAACCCUAGAACUGCAUUUGAAACUAUUAUUCUAGAGUAUGGGAGAGGUAGGUGGAAUUCUUGGUGUAGCGGUAAAAUCCGUAGAGAUCAAGAGGAAUACUCAUGGCGAAGGCGACCUGCUAGAACAUAACUGACGCUGAUGCGCGAAAGCGUGGGGAGCAAACAGGAUUAGAUACCCUUGUAGUC